Long non-coding RNA from Hordeum vulgare subsp. vulgare (domesticated barley), 716 nucleotides. RefSeq lists it as uncharacterized. The record is from RefSeq and is a predicted model, not a curated record. NCBI's taxonomy places the organism in Eukaryota, Viridiplantae, Streptophyta, Magnoliopsida, Poales, Poaceae. The transcript is spliced from 2 exons.
GCAUCCAGUCGCGAGCCUAGGGUUUCCCCUCACCCUCUCUUCCUCCUCCCUGCCGCCGCAGCUUCUCCUCGCGGCUCUCCUCGCUCUGCUCCCGCAGCAGCAGCAGAUCCAUGGGGAGCUACUGUCGGAGUUCGUCGCUGGCGUGAGGAGCCAGUGCAGCCCCGAAGACCGCAUCCACGAGCUCGCCAAGCACGCCAGGGAGCCAAGGCCGAGCCAAGAUUACCGUCGCUAGUGUCCUCUUCUUUCUCGUCCUACAACCUUGGACCUGAAGGAUCGCCGGAGUUCGUCGCCUCGCGAUUACCUCAUCGUUGCUUCCCCGUCGCCAACUUCAUGUCCUAUGUAGGGGAGCAUCAGGUGCCGUGAAUGAGUACGUGGAUCCCGUUGAGAACGUUCCUGAAGAGCAAGAGUUUCAUCCCUCACAAGAAGUGGCACGCAAGAUGAUCAUUGACCUUGAUAUCAUUUCUAAUUUUGUUAUGCUUAGGUGUCUCAUUUCUAUUGCUAAUUUUCACUACCUACCACCUGAAUAUCAAGCCUCCUAAAAGUACCAUGAAAAGCCUCUAAUCCCCUCCACAUCCUAGCAAACAUUGAUUGGCUAGGUUAGCGCUUGCUCAAACCUUCUUAUAGCGUUGCUAGUUGCAGGUGAAGGUUGAUCCAUGUGUUGACAUGGAUAUUUGGAACAUCAUUAUUAUUGCUAUUUAAUUUAAUGCACACAUAUA